Heterocephalus glaber (naked mole-rat) is the source of this 410-nucleotide non-coding RNA. The record is from RefSeq and is a predicted model, not a curated record. Lineage: Eukaryota; Metazoa; Chordata; Mammalia; Rodentia; Bathyergidae.
UCUUAAAUUGGUGACCCCGGCGGCCCAGAGCAGAUGGGGGGGGGGGGAGGUUCGAUGCGGUGCGGCGCAGCCCGCGAGCCGGCGCCGCUGCCUCCCCCCUUGCGCUGAGGGCACGGCACGUGGUGGGAAGAUCCUCUUUUGUUGCCAGUUCAGAGAGUCCAGGUGGUUGAGUAUCAGAUUGUUCCAUCUCAUUUCCCUUUGGAGUUGCGAACUAGGAUGUCUUCAGCUGAUGUACUCUUGCCCUUCAGCAUCACAGUAUCACAGGACCACUGAAGCAUCAACUUGUCAUGGAGGCAAAAUGGAAUUAUAUUUCCAUGUUCCAUAGAUGGCUCACAGGCAAGGUGACAUUGGGCCUUAGACAGCUAUAGUCAUACAUUAAUUAUGAAAUGAUUUUUCUUCCAAAAUUUAUG